This is an RNA transcript of Phalaenopsis equestris, 3273 nucleotides long. It is a transcript of the gene named mitogen-activated protein kinase 10-like, with no coding region annotated. Lineage: Eukaryota; Viridiplantae; Streptophyta; Magnoliopsida; Asparagales; Orchidaceae. The record is from RefSeq and is a predicted model, not a curated record. The transcript is spliced from 11 exons.
GUUUGGAACAUUGCGGUUUUUAGGCUUUCCUUCAACGAGAGCGGAGAUGCAGCAGGAUCAGCGCAAGAAGGAUACUCCAGAGAUGGACUUCUUCACUGAAUAUGGGGAUGCCAGCAGAUACAAAAUUCAGGAGGUCAUAGGGAAAGGAAGUUAUGGAGUUGUGUGCUCCGCUAUAGACAUUCAAACUGGAGAAAAGGUGGCUAUCAAGAAGAUACAUGAUAUUUUUGAGCACAUCUCAGAUGCUGCCCGUAUUCUUCGUGAGAUCAAGCUUCUUAGACUUCUUAGACAUCCUGACAUUGUAGAAAUAAAGCACAUCAUGCUACCCCCAUCAAAGAGGGAUUUUAAAGAUAUUUAUGUUGUUUUUGAGCUUAUGGAGUCAGAUCUUCAUCAAGUUAUCAAAGCCAAUGAUGACUUGACCAAAGAGCAUUACCAAUUUUUUCUUUAUCAGCUCUUACGCGCAUUAAAGUAUAUCCACACAGCUAAUGUUUAUCAUCGAGAUUUAAAGCCAAAGAAUAUAUUAGCAAAUGCCAACUGCAAGCUCAAAAUUUGUGAUUUCGGAUUAGCAAGAGUGGCAUUCAGUGAUACCCCAUCAACAGUGUUUUGGACGGAUUAUGUUGCAACAAGGUGGUAUCGAGCGCCUGAGCUAUGCGGUUCUUUCUUCUCCAAGUACACACCAGCCAUAGACAUUUGGAGCAUUGGUUGCAUUUUUGCUGAGGUAUUAACUGGGAAGCCUUUAUUUCCUGGAAAAAAUGUGGUACAUCAAUUGGACUUGAUGACUGAUCUUCUUGGCACACCUUCCAUAGAUUCUAUAUCUCGGGUUCGAAAUGAUAAAGCGAGAAGGUUUUUGAGUAGUAUGAGGAAAAAGCAACCGAUUCCAUUCUUGCAAAAGUUUCCAGAUGCGGAUCCUUUGGCCCUCAAACUUUUGCGAAGACUACUAGCAUUUGACCCAAAGGAUCGCCCUUCAGCUGAAGAGGCAUUGGCAGAUCCUUAUUUUAAUGGUUUGGCCAAAGUGGAGAGGGAGCCCCCUUGCCAACCAAUCACAAAAAUGGAGUUUGAAUUUGAGCGGCGAAGGGUGACAAAAGAGGACAUUAGAGAACUUAUUUUUCGUGAAAUAUUGGAAUAUCACCCUCAACUUCUUAAGGACUAUAUAAAUGGCACAGAGAGAACAAGUUUCAUGUAUCCUAGUGCGGUUGAUCAAUUCAAAAGACAGUUUGCUCACCUGGAGGAGAACGGUGGAACAAAUUCUCCCACGGUUCCUUUAGAGAGGAAACACAUUUCUCUUCCUAGGAAGCUCUGAUCGCGACUGCAUCACAAGGUUUGGUCGCAUCGUCACCUUCCCAACAAGUUUUGAUCGUGACUGUCUCGCAGGGUUUAGUCACGAAGGUGUGGAACCUAGCCGUCUCACGUCUUCGCCUUCCCAACAAGCUCUAAUCACAACUGUAUCGCAGUUGUAUGUUGCGUUCUCGAAGUUGCUUUACUGACUGUAUCGCGAGGGAUUCAGGCAGGAAAGGGCUUCUGCAGUUUGCUGCAAGAGGAAGGAGUGGAGCGACACUAUGAAAGGACAAGGGGAGGCGACAGAGGGGAACAAAUAGGGAGAGAUGCGUGACUUCUGUGUACUGGAUGUGCAACAGAAGGAGAAAAAGAAGGGUUUAUAUGGAGGAUCUUGGCCUUGAUGGUAAAGUAGAUCAAGAUCAGGUCAAGAAGAGGAAGUCAUGUGUGAUCUAGACUUGGAUCCUUGUUUAGGAGGAGAUGUUGCGGGAGGUAAAGGAUUGGAGCAUCUGAGAAAGAUAAAUUCUGAGAUUCUGAAUGUAUUAAUCAGACUCAUACAGGGAGCUAGCAUCUCAAUGGGAGCCAUUAUCUUGACAUGUUCUCCGAUGCAGGUGGAAUUAGAUCUCCCUCAUGUAGAUCUGAAGCUUUAUGGACCGGCCAUGUAUAUGAGUUGGUCGUGUUGAAUUGAGGUUGUUCUAGUCGGAAAGAGUCUUUAGGGUUAUCUGAUAGAAGUCAAGGCCAAGACAGAGGGUGACAGUGUUGAGGGGAUGAGAGGACCAGACACAUCUUUUGAUACAUCUGAUUUCUCAACUCGAUGGUUUCAUCAAUUGCCACAUUAGUAGAUGACAUUCAAAAGGUAAGGGAGGGACAUUUGAGCAAAGCUAAAGAGGAUUUAUGUUGAGAUGGAGAACCACAUGAGGGUGUUUCAGAUUCAAUGUGAGAUAAAAGCAGCGGUGCAUGGUGAUAGAUCGAUUCAGGAAUGCGUCAUAGAUUUGGAGUAGUUGUUGGUGGAUCUUGAUCAUUUCUCACCGGUGACGAGUUGUGGCAAUCUGAAUUGCAAUAAAGGGGGAUUUUUACACAGAUGAGAAAUAUGUAAUUUUUGGCUCAUCUGAACCCAAUCAUUGAUCAAAGGAGAUCAAUCCUUCUGGCUUAGGUGAUUAUCCCUUCACUAGAUGAGGUCCUUGUUGCAAUAUUACAAGAGGAGAGUCGCAUGAAGCUAUACUCUGAGCCAAGCGGACUUCCGGUCGCGCGAUCAGCAUUGGCUGCCUCGAGCUCAGGUAUAUGAUAGAUGUCAAGGAAGAGACUCGCAAUUGCUAACAUCUGAGUAAGACCUGUCUAAGGCCACCUAAGAAAAGAGAGGCAAGAACAUGGACAUGGUGGAGGUCGUAGUCAUAGUCAUGGUGGUUGAAAAGGUGGAAAGAGGGGCUACCGGGCAAUCUGAUGAUAGCAGAGGAGGGAGAGACUGGUGUGAUUUUCACCAAUGAAGAUCAUCAAUGUCUGCAGUUGUUGAAGUGGAAGCAGAAAGCAACAAGAGAUGGGGCUAAGGAUGUUUCCAACCAGUUGUCAUCAAAUGAUAACAUUGUCGCUUAUGCUCACUCUGACAAAGGUACUGCUAUAGAGUUUUCUUCUUAUACUCCCCCAACAGUACGAGAGAGCAUCCAGACUAUUGAUGGUACAACAUGGCCUGUAGUUGGUAAGAGUACAAUGAGGGCUGAUCUAUCAAGAUAAAAUGACGGGUCAGACACUUGGAACUAGAAUAUUGCAUAGUGGACUCUGAUACCUAGAUCGAGAGGGGAUGGACUCAGCUUUGACAUCCAUGAUAGAGAGUGAUGGAGUAGGAGAACCUGAGAGGAGUGUAGAGGAUGUGUUGUUGCUACAUUAUAGACGCAUGAUACAUUCUUCUUUCAAUUUAUUGAGCUGGUUGUAUUCUUUUUUGUAUGAAAAGGUAAAUAAAGAAAAACUUGUUUAUGAUGUUUAUGAAUUUGACAUGCUUACUAGGAGCUC